AUUAUAAAAAGAUGUUGCCUGGUGACCUGUCAGAAACCCAUUAUACAGAGUCAGCCAAAAUAAUGUUUACACACAUCAGGAAAAGAAAAACUUGCAUAAAUAUUUCAAUGCCAAAUUUAUUCAGACAUCACGAGGUUAAUAAAAGUUAUCUUUGGCCUCUACAAUUACAAGAGGUGCUCAAAGUGGUGGCCACUGGCUUCCAGACAUUUCUGUUGUGUUGUAGACGUCACUUGUUGAUGCUCCAUUCAUGAGAGUAGCGCCAUCUGUUGGGAAAACAUCGUACAACAGGACACAGAGUUUUUUAUGAUUUGAUCAAACUUUGAAAGAGGAAUCUAUAUGUGUAGAAGUACUUAUACAAAUGAAAUAUCUAUAAAAAAUGUUCUUUUCCUGAUGUGUGUAUACAUUAUUUUUGACUGACUGUGAACUUAAUGAGAACAAAACUGUCAUUUAAUUGUUGCUCUGAAAGCUUGUUUAGUGAAAACCGGCUGGUGUUCUGCUUUGAAACAAACUGCUGUUGAGGUCUGUGUUUUUAGGUUUAACCCCACAGUUUCUGAAUGAACUGAUAGUUUGUUUUUCCCUGAUCAAUGUGGACGUUAUAAUUGAUGGUAACAUUUACUGAUCAUAUAAUCAGCAUGACAAUAUAACAGUAUAACAUUCUGACCACCUGACUAAUACUGUGUUGGUCCCUUUAUGCUGCUAAAACUCCUCUGACCCAGUGGUUCAUCAGAACCUCUGGGAUGUCCUGUGGAUUCUGUGGGUCCUGUGGGUUGCAAGGUGGGUCCUACCUAGACCAGGCUGAUCCUGGACCAUCCCACAGAUGCUCAAUCAGAUCUGGAUGUGGGGAGUGUGGAACCCAGAUGUUCAGAGGGAGAUGAUGCCACAUCUGGUCCAGCUGAUGGAAGGUCUUGAAGUUCUCUGACUGGCCUGGACUGAAGAUGGUCGUCUCACUGGAUUUAAGGUUCAGAUGCUCAGUAACAAACUCCACCAAUGUGCCAACAGGGAAGCUUUAGGUUUAUUAAAUGUUGCUAUGAAGGUAUCGCUGUUUUUCUUUGUGAAUGCAAUGUGCUCCAACUGAAACUUGAAUUAGAACUUAGAAGUAAAUCCUUCCAUCUGAAAGGAUCUAGUUGUAUUAAUAACCUCAUAACAUUCUAAUUUUUAUUCCAGUCUUGGUUGGAAAUAGAAUCUCUGUAUUGAUUCAGGUAAAAACUGAACUUCACAGCAUGUUGGAGCAAAACAACCAGAUGAAAACUGUGAUGGUGUUGGAUUGUCAGACCGUAAUGUUGCAGCUCAAAGCAGCUUUUCUAACUCAAUAACUAGCUGAAUAGCUGCAGUCUAAUGUAACAGCUGGAAUUGUAACAUCUGUCCUGAUAUUGAUCAUGAAGUAUUGAUCAGAAUUCUAAUGGUCAGCUGUCAUCCCUGAAGUUUUACAUUAAAAUCUUUACUUGUGUUGUGAACUUUGGUAAGAAGCAGAAACUUUAGCGUUGCCAUGGAUACAUGAGUGUUAAAUUCAGUCCAUGUUUCAUUUUGGGAAAUUCAGUCCAGCAGAUGAGUUUGUCUUUACUGCCAGCUACCGUUCAGUCUGAGAUAUUAAGAAUAAAUAAAUGUGCAUAAUGUGGAAAUGAACAGAUUUUAUUUUUAUUUAUUCCUACAGCUGCUGCAGGUAAAGUUAUAGAAUGUGGAGGAAUUUAGUCUCACAAUCACAGACAAUAAAUAUUAUCUGAAAGUCAGGUUAUUGUUGUUUAUCAGCACAAUACAAAAAGAUUCAUGUGAGAAAUAUUCCAGUUAAGACUCUAGAAUAUCAUGAUUUAUGUGAAUUUACCUCAAUAUAAAUGUUCAGGUUAAGAUUGCACAGUGAUAUUUAUUAUGUAAGUUUAGCUGAUUAAAGUUUAUGACUCUGCACUACAAUAUUAUUUAAAUUUCCAUCAUUAUUAUAAUAUUUAGGGUCAGACUCUACAGUAUUGAGAUUAAGAAAUCAAAUAUUUCAUAAAAUGUAAAUACACUGAACAAAUUUGUAUAUAUUUAAGUGAGAAUCUACAAUAUUAUUUGACACAAAUCUCUCUAAAUCAAAAUUUGAAUCAUUUUUACUCCAAACAUUUACUGGACUGAUUUAAAUAUUAAAAUCACUCAUUUCUAAUCCUCUGCUGUACGUUCAAACCUGAGGCCUUAAAUAGAAACACACAAGUAUCUGUUUGAAGGAACUUCUGCAGAGUCCUGGUUCCAGAACAUGAUGAUAGAAUUAUAGACAAACUUUAACAAACGCUGCCUGAGAGUUUACAAGUUUUUAUGUUGGAUUUCUUCAGUAAUUUAAUGAGAGUUAUCAGCAAAAAUCAAGUGUUCAUUUGAUGAACUUCAUUUCCUAAAACAUCCAGAGUUGGAACUCAUAUCUUUGGCAGCUUUAAAGUUUCUGCUCCUUCAAAGUUCACAACACAAUGAAUGAAUUCCUAAAACACUCUCAAUGCUGGAGAGCGUUUGAUGCUGAAGCAGUGACCAGUUUUUCUGUUUCUUCUCUGGAGAUGCACAAUGAGGGACGUCUGCAGAGACUGAGAAAGAGUCUCACCACAUCCUGACAUGAGGAAAAAGACUUUAUUGAAGACUACAAUGAGAAAAACUAUCAGACAGCAGACGGCUGCAUUCAAGGUGAGCUCUGAACAUUUGAUCUGGAACAGGAAUUCAAUAACGGCAGCAUGAGCUUCAUUUCAGUCUGUAGCUGCUGAAUUCAUGGAUGAAUCAUCUGGCACUAGAGAGGAAGACUAUCAAACAUCCACGUCAGCUGAUGGAGGUCCAAGAGUCUCACCGAACAAACAACCUACAGAAUGAAGACCUCAAAUCUGAUUGGACGGCCUCCUAUUAAGCCACGUGUGAACAAAUGCCUCUAAGCUGAUUUGUUUUCUAAAAUAAAUCGAGUUUGAGUCCUAAUCUA
Amphiprion ocellaris (clown anemonefish) is the source of this 2920-nucleotide long non-coding RNA. RefSeq lists it as uncharacterized. The transcript is spliced from 2 exons. NCBI's taxonomy places the organism in Eukaryota, Metazoa, Chordata, Actinopteri, Pomacentridae. The record is from RefSeq and is a predicted model, not a curated record.